AAACCAUGAUGAGGACACUCUAAGAGAAGAUCCUUAAAACGUUCCAUACACCUAGAAAAUGAUUCAUUUGGUUUUUGACGAAACUGAAAAAUAUCGUUCCUAAUCUU
Molecule: small nucleolar RNA, 107 nt
Filed under: Cephalotus follicularis
Lineage: Eukaryota; Viridiplantae; Streptophyta; Magnoliopsida; Oxalidales; Cephalotaceae
Description: Plant small nucleolar RNA R71
Rfam family: Plant small nucleolar RNA R71
About the family: R71 is a member of the C/D box family of snoRNAs containing the C (UGAUGA) and D (CUGA) box motifs. Multiple nearly identical copies of this snoRNA have been identified in Arabidopsis, and it is thought to function as a 2'-O-ribose methylation guide for 18S ribosomal RNA.
Source: Rfam by way of RNAcentral